Non-coding RNA from Aegilops tauschii subsp. strangulata, 947 nucleotides. Lineage: Eukaryota; Viridiplantae; Streptophyta; Magnoliopsida; Poales; Poaceae. The record is from RefSeq and is a predicted model, not a curated record.
UAUUACUAAACAGUAUAACACAGCUAGCUAGGAGCCUCCACGUCGCUUUGACGCUCUCAGCCAUCGGAUCACUCAAACGUACGAUCAAGAUCAGCUCUCGGCGUCCCAGGUUGCUCACGCACUGCACGCAAGUCUCGCGGGCUGCUGCUCCACAGAGCGAGUUCCAUCGCUAUCCUCCCCAUCUGUUCGUCGCGUGCCGCCGUUUCUGGCUCCUCGAUGCGUCGCCGACCGCCGUUCUUUCCUCCUCGAUGCGCCGUUGUUCCAUCAUCGGCGAGCUUCUUCUUCGCGACUGCCUCCUCACCGAUUCCGUCCACCCGCCCUGUACUCUUCCUCAGCAGCCCCUUUUUUUACUGUUUUUUCAUUUCGUGUCUUGUAUCGUUUGUCCGUGGCGGCUGCGGCGGCAGCCGGCGCCGUCGACGACCUCUCUCCAAAUACGGCGACAUAUAUGGGCAGCGGUGGGAUGUUUUCUCACCUUCCUGUGCGUGGCAGUGUUGCUGUGAUGGCAAGAUGAUACGGGCGACGAGGGGAUGGGGCCAUGGGGGUGACAGUGCUACUCUUCUCCGUUGAGAUCCAAGCUGUCAGCUGUGCUUGAUUAAUUAAGGUGUGGGGUACCUAGAGUAAUCACAAAGCGUGGAUAAGUGACCAUCCAACACUCUGGUCUGCUGCUUAGACGUCAUGUCUUAUUCAUGAUUUGGAGCUACAACAUAUACACGAUUAAAAAUGAGUGACCAGAACACAAGUCGAUGUAGACAGUUAUGAUCGAAUUAUAUAUACAUUUGUAUCAUGGUAUCUCAGUGGCAGGAAGAUAUAUUUGUCUCCAGAAGUGACCCAUUCACUAUUUGUUGAUGGGAAUUUUUAUUUCAAAAGUUUUGAUUGGAAAAAGAGAUACAGCUCUGUAUCUCAUAUUUUUAGCAACCUGCAAAAACCAAGAUCUGCUGUUGUAUUUA